Molecule: long non-coding RNA, 2087 nt
Organism: Macaca fascicularis (crab-eating macaque)
Lineage: Eukaryota; Metazoa; Chordata; Mammalia; Primates; Cercopithecidae
Source: Ensembl
UUGUUUUUCUUACCGUUAAGUUUGGGAGUCCUUGAUUUGAUUUGCAAAUAUUUUGUUUGUAGCUUUUCAUUCUCUUAAUGAAGGGUUUUUGUUGGAACAAAAACUUUUAAGUCAAAUUGAUCGAUUUUUUUUCUUUAUGGAUUGUGCUUUUGAUCUCAAGUCUAAGAACUCUUGACCGAGCUGUAGGUCCUGAAGGUUUUCUUGCUUACUUCUAAAAUUUCAUAGUUUUGCAUUUUACAUUUAAGUCCACAGUACAGUCUGAGUUAAUUCUGCAUAAGAUCUGAGGUUUCGGCUUGGGGUUUUUUUUUUUUUUUUUUUUUUUUUUUUUUUUGAGAGAGUCUUCACUCUGUCGCCCAGGCUGGAUGCAGUGGCGUGAUCAAGGCUCACUGCAGCCUUGACCUCCCAGGCUCAGGUGAUCUCCCACCUCAGCCUCCCAAGUAGCUGGGACUACAGGCACGCACCACCACGCCUGGCUAAGUUUUUUAUAUUUUUGUAGAAGAUAGGUUCUUCUACAAAAGAAGAACCACGUUGCCCAGGCUGGUCUUGAACUCCUGGACUCAAGCAAUCUGCCUGAGACUCAAGCAAAUUCAGCCUCCCUAAGUGCUGGGAUUUACAGGUAUUUUCAUGGUCUUUGUGCUCUUUAAUCACGUUAUUACAACGUGAUUGGGUAUGCAGUAGUUUUUAAAUAAGUCCACAAAUUCUUACAGUCCUCCCUUUAGGAAGUGGAACCUAAUUCUUCUAAGUGUGUGCUGGGUGUAGUGACUUGCUUCUAACAAACAGAAUGUAGCAGAAUAUCACUUCCAAGGCCAGAUCAUAAGCAAGCCCCAUAAUGCUCCCUCCUGCCUUCUCUCUUGGAUUGCCACUCUGGGAAAGCCACCUGCCAUCUCCUGAGAACACUCAGGCCGACGGAGAUGUCCAUGUGGCGAGGCACAGGGGCCACCAAUCAACAACCCCAUGAGUGAUCUUGGAAACAGAUCCUCCAGCCCCAGUCCAGCCUUCAAAUGAGUGCAGCUUUCCAACUGACCCCAAGCUAGACUCACCCAGCUAAGCCACUCCUGAUUCCUGGCCCACAGAAACCGAGGUAAUAAGUGUUUGUUAUUUUAAGCCCCCAGUUUUGGGUAAUUUGUGUGUAGCAACUGAUGAUCAAUGAAAAGUAUGGAAUUUUUUUUAAGUAAAUUUGCUUACUUAGAAUAAACAUUAAAAAAGUGCAUAAAACAUGUAUACAGUUCAAUGAAUAUUCAUAAAGUACAAAUACCUACUUAAUCAUCACCCAGAUGAAGAAACAGAACAUUUGGAUGUAUAUUUCUUCCUAUCAACCUGCUUGAGACUUGGUGGUCUUCUUGAAUCUGUGAACUGGUGAUUUUCAAAAGUUCUGGAAAGUUCUCAGCCACUGUUUUUAAAUAUUGCUUCUGACUCAUUUUCACUGUUUUGUUUUGUUUCUUUCCACCUGGGACUCCAUCGUUUUACAUUGGAUCUCUUCAUUCUAUUCUCCAUGUCUCUCAGUCUCUUGCUUUACAUUAUCACUGUUUAUCUUGCUGGGCUGCAUUUUGGAAAACUUCAGAUCUAGCCUCCCAUUCACUAAUUAUCUCUUCACCUUUGUCUAAUCCACAGAUACAAGGUUUUUAAUUGCCGUAAUACACUACAGUAGUAUAUAGUCACUCCUUAUCCAUGUGGGGGGAUGUUCCAAGACCCCCAACCCCAGUGGAUGCCCGAAAUGGUGGCGAGUACUGAACCCUAUAUAUACUGUGCUUUCUCUUACACAUACAUACAUAUGAUAAAGUUUAAUUUAUAAAUUAGGCACAGUAACAAAUUAACAAUAACUAAUGAGAAAAUUAUAAAAAUAUACACUAAUAAAAAUUAUGUGAACGUGGUCUCUCUCAAAGUAUCUUAUUGCAUGUGAUAGUUUUGGGCAUGGUUGACAACAGGUAGGUAGCUAAAACCACAGAAAGGGAAACUGGAGACGCAAGGGGUGGGGGGCAGAUUACUGUAUCUUUUAUUUCCAGAAUAUUGGUUUGGUUCUUUUGCAAAUCUGCUAUUUUCACAUCUUUUAGUUCUUAAAUAAUUUUUAAACAUAUCUAAAUUCCAUG